This 301-nucleotide ribosomal RNA is filed under the name uncultured bacterium. Its description in RNAcentral is "partial 16S ribosomal RNA". It matches the Rfam family "Archaeal small subunit ribosomal RNA", at positions 459 to 760 of the family's 1478-position model. The record is from RNAcentral.
CAGUAGCCGCGGUAAAACCAGCACCUCAAGUGGUCAGGAGGUUUAUUGGGCCUAAAGCAUCCGUAGCCGGUUGCAUAAGUUUUCGGUUAAAUCUAUGCGCUUAACGUAUAGGCCGCCGAAAAUACUGUGCAGCUAGGGAGUGGGAGAGGUACACGGUACUCGAUAGGAAGGGGUAAAAUCCUUUGAUCUAUUGAUGACCACCUGUGGCGAAGGCGGUGUACCAGAACACGUUCGACGGUGAGGGAUGAAAGCUGGGGGAGCAAACCGGAUUAGAUACCCGGGUAGUCCCUGUCUCUUAUAU